CAUGAAGGUGGACGACUAUUAAAAUUAUGGUCUCUCGCCCAUUCCCACCCGGAGCGGCCAUCUCACUCUUCACUAUCUUGCACGGACAUAUCCUGUAGCUAUUGCCCUUUCUCUAUGCCACGAGCGAGAGUUCCCAUCCUUGUGUACUAAGAGUAUCUUGAGUUGAAAGGUCAUCCUUGUGUACUGCGAGUACCUUGAGUGACAACGGUUGAGGUUGAAGAUCCCUUCCUCUUCAUUCCCUUGAUCGAGAUCAACGAAGCCGGGUCAUUGUUGCACAAUCGGCCUCGGAUCUAUAUUUUUCGGUUCCAGUUUUGCUCCAAUUUGUAUUGGUUUCUUUUAGCUUCUAGUUCGUUGAUGCUUUGUCAGUAGCUUUACGUGAAUAUAUAUAUUACCUCCUUUCACCAUGGUCUAUAUUCUAGCAUUUGUUUCUUUUCUUGGUUU
This is a long non-coding RNA of Amborella trichopoda, 441 nucleotides long. RefSeq lists it as uncharacterized. The record is from RefSeq and is a predicted model, not a curated record. Lineage: Eukaryota; Viridiplantae; Streptophyta; Magnoliopsida; Amborellales; Amborellaceae.